CCCUGAAAGAUGAUCAGGUUGAUAGGUCUGAGGUGGAAGUGUGGCGACACAUGGAGCUGACAGAUACUAAUCGAUCGAGGACUUAACCACAUUU
RNAcentral lists this ribosomal RNA (94 nucleotides) under Bacillus subtilis. RNAcentral describes it as "partial 23S ribosomal RNA". It matches the Rfam family "Bacterial large subunit ribosomal RNA", at positions 2835 to 2925 of the family's 2925-position model. The record is from RNAcentral. Lineage: Bacteria; Bacillati; Bacillota; Bacilli; Caryophanales; Bacillaceae.